Molecule: ribosomal RNA, 764 nt
Filed under: Salmonella enterica
Lineage: Bacteria; Pseudomonadati; Pseudomonadota; Gammaproteobacteria; Enterobacterales; Enterobacteriaceae
Description: partial 23S ribosomal RNA
Rfam family: Bacterial large subunit ribosomal RNA
Source: RNAcentral
GUAAUGAUGGCCAGGCUGUCUCCACCCGAGACUCAGUGAAAUUGAACUCGCUGUGAAGAUGCAGUGUACCCGCGGCAAGACGGAAAGACCCCGUGAACCUUUACUAUAGCUUGACACUGAACAUUGAGCCUUGAUGUGUAGGAUAGGUGGGAGGCUUUGAAGCGUGGACGCCAGUCUGCGUGGAGCCGACCUUGAAAUACCACCCUUUAAUGUUUGAUGUUCUAACGUGGACCCGUAAUCCGGGUUGCGGACAGUGUCUGGUGGGUAGUUUGACUGGGGCGGUCUCCUCCUAAAGAGUAACGGAGGAGCACGAAGGUUGGCUAAUCCUGGUCGGACAUCAGGAGGUUAGUGCAAUGGCAUAAGCCAGCUUGACUGCGAGCGUGACGGCGCGAGCAGGUGCGAAAGCAGGUCAUAGUGAUCCGGUGGUUCUGAAUGGAAGGGCCAUCGCUCAACGGAUAAAAGGUACUCCGGGGAUAACAGGCUGAUACCGCCCAAGAGUUCAUAUCGACGGCGGUGUUUGGCACCUCGAUGUCGGCUCAUCACAUCCUGGGGCUGAAGUAGGUCCCAAGGGUAUGGCUGUUCGCCAUUUAAAGUGGUACGCGAGCUGGGUUUAGAACGUCGUGAGACAGUUCGGUCCCUAUCUGCCGUGGGCGCUGGAGAACUGAGGGGGGCUGCUCCUAGUACGAGAGGACCGGAGUGGACGCAUCACUGGUGUUCGGGUUGUCAUGCCAAUGGCACUGCCCGGUAGCUAAAUGCGGAAGAGA